This 22-nucleotide non-coding RNA is filed under the name Mus musculus (house mouse). The record is from RNAcentral. Lineage: Eukaryota; Metazoa; Chordata; Mammalia; Rodentia; Muridae.
UGGUACUAGGUAGGAUUUGCCA